CAACCCAGCUACUCCUCUGUACUUGAGGCAAAUAAAAAAUUAGAAUCAUAUUGCUUUCUCUGGCCCAAUGGGACUCUGGCACUUUGAGAAAUGGUUUCACCAAAUUUUGAAGUGUGAGAGCAGCAUGCUACGAAAUAGCCUGAAUGAAGUUAAUGUGGGCAAAGAGCAAAACAGAGUGGAAAGUGAUUUCUUCUAGAUCUCCAAGUUAAGCAGACUUCUGAUCCUUCUUGAAGAGUGUUAUUUUUCCCAGCUCCUUACCACAUACAGUCAACCAAUCAUGAUUGAUUCUGCCACUAGAAUACUUGUAAUAUCAAGCCUCCUUCCCUGUCCUAGAAGAUACAUUUCAUGUACGUAAAAUCCCAGCACCACUUUACCCAAUCAGAAGGAAGACAAAUGACACAGCCAGCAUUCUGUCUCCUACCUGAGCUCAGAAGGCAGUAUGCACUCUCAGAGAGGACCUUCUUUGGAAUGAAAAGUGGGAUUUGGGUUUGAAACCAUGCCCCAUAGGGUUAAGGAGCUUAAAACUGUCACAGCAAGACCCCUGCCAAAUCCCCUUCUUCCUUACAGGAAUGUUAACCCUAUCUUGGCAAACAAUAGGAAGAGCUCCUGGGGAAUGAGACCAAGACCAGUUUGAGUUCUAGCACCAACUCACACAUGUGCAGAUGGACCACAGAGUGUCUACAGUUAUGGCUACCUCAUUAUAAUGUUAAAAUCUCUGCCAAGGAGGAACACAUGCUUGACCGACAUAAUGAUAGGGGAAAACUAUAUUAUAAGGUGGCUGAUGGGACUGAUAGGGGAAUUCCAGUCCCCACCCAAAGGCUCCCCUUCGGGUUUUGGGGUUUGUCUUCCUAUCCCACUUGCCACGGGACCCACAUUACUACUAAUGCGGAAUACAGAAGCAACAGACUAUAAAUUGCCUCCCAUGCUUGCACUCAGGG
Molecule: long non-coding RNA, 938 nt
Organism: Hyaena hyaena (striped hyena)
Lineage: Eukaryota; Metazoa; Chordata; Mammalia; Carnivora; Hyaenidae
Exons: 4
Source: RefSeq, a predicted model, not a curated record